RNAcentral lists this long non-coding RNA (448 nucleotides) under Brassica rapa (field mustard). RNAcentral's name for it is "long non-coding RNA (BRAP_LNC001421)". Lineage: Eukaryota; Viridiplantae; Streptophyta; Magnoliopsida; Brassicales; Brassicaceae. The record is from RNAcentral.
AGUUUAUUAAAAGUGUAGCAUUACACUUGCGUCUUACAAAGAAAGGUUAGUAAUGCUAAGAAGAUAAAAAAAGCCUGAUAAUUCUUAUAACCCCCUUAUCUAAAAUUUCUUAAUGGUAUGUGAUUGCUUUGUAUUAGACAAUAAGUAACUCAAUAUUAAGUGAUUUGCUUUAGUUGCAGUUUCUAGGUGGUUGAAUGAGUAAGGAAUAUUGAUAGUGUGAUUCGGCUUGCAGAUAGGAAGGGAUUGAACAUGAACCAAUACUACCACCCAAAAAGAUAAGUAUCUUUUUAUACUUUACCAGAAUUUAAAUAUAUAGUAACUUACUGUUAUAUUAUGUUCUUUUGACAGGAAAAUAUGCGUAUUACAUGGUACAUCCAAAUGGAAAUUAAGAAGCAAAUUGAUGACAGCGACUAUUAAGAUAACUUUCUUCAGUGCAUUUAAUCAGUAA